AGAUGAAGGAAACACCCCGUCCACAGGGCACUGUGGGCGAGUCCCGGCCGUGGCCCUCCCGGCUUCGACCUGGUCGUGCCCUCGCGCACACACCCGGGGCCCCCGGCUCCGGAUCUCCUCACCGAUCGGA
This 130-nucleotide non-coding RNA is filed under the name Streptomyces griseoaurantiacus. Its description in RNAcentral is "Streptomyces RNA 5676". It matches the Rfam family "Streptomyces RNA 5676". Rfam says of the family: Identified by deep sequencing of transcriptome at the end of exponential growth phase. The record is from RNAcentral. Lineage: Bacteria; Bacillati; Actinomycetota; Actinomycetes; Kitasatosporales; Streptomycetaceae. RNAcentral also lists the same sequence under 1 other name.